CAAUAGCGUAUAUUAAAGUUGUUGCAGUUAAAAAGCUCGUAGUUGGAUUUGUGGAGGCUCACGAUGUCCGUUUUUGGUACGUUUGUGGGGCUGCAUACUUGGGUGGAGCCUGUGUGGCAUUAGGUUGUCGUGCAGGGGAUGCUCAUCGUUUACUGUGAAAAAAUUAGAGUGUUCAAAGCAGGCUUAUGCCAUUGAAUAUAUUAGCAUGGAAUAAUAAGAUAGGACCUUGGUACUAUUUUGUUGGUUUGCGCACUGAGGUAAUGAUUAACAGGGACAGUUGGGGGUAUUCGUAUUCCAUUGUCAGAGGUGAAAUUCUUGGAUUUUUGGAAGACGAACUACUGCGAAAGCAUUUACCAAGGAUGUUUUCAUUAA
Molecule: ribosomal RNA, 372 nt
Filed under: uncultured eukaryote
Lineage: Eukaryota
Description: partial 18S ribosomal RNA
Rfam family: Eukaryotic small subunit ribosomal RNA
Source: RNAcentral